This is a non-coding RNA of Struthio camelus australis, 807 nucleotides long. The record is from RefSeq and is a predicted model, not a curated record. NCBI's taxonomy places the organism in Eukaryota, Metazoa, Chordata, Aves, Struthioniformes, Struthionidae.
AUCAGCUGUGGGCAUAGAGCUUUGAGCAACAGUUGUUUAGCAAGUAUCUGCAGAUAAGGCCUUCACUUUCUUCCUGGAGGAACAGGCUCAAAUCCAGGAGCUGGAGAAGACCACGAGAAGCCUCCUGUUGUGAACUUCUGAUGACGGUGUUUUUGGGCACAGACCAGAUCUUCAGCACCACCUGUUUUAUGAGAACCACAGGAACAACUCCUCAGUAAGGCUGAGGAAGACUUGAAUUAAAAAGCCCUUCUGGGGAACUUAUGCCAAAACACUUUGGGCUGAUAUCUGGAAAACUCCUCGGCUGAAAAGUAAAUUUAGGUUUGUUUUGCUUUCUCAGUAACUCUUGUACUUAUUUCUUCACCUUCAAAGUUCUCUUGCCGCUAAUACGUCUUAACUGAAUGAGAUAACUAUUCUUUGUUUGCACUUUGUACCCCCAGAAGAAGAAUCUAUAAGGGAAUCACUUUUUCAUGGUUUUAUUUCCUCUUUACUUUCCACUCAGUACCAUUCUUGAAUUUUACUGGCACUUACGCAGAUGUUUUUAAAGCACUGUAUACAUCUACUUUUUACUUGUGUCAUUCUGCCCAACCUAUUUUGUAUAGGUACCUUAAUGUAUCCUAAAUCACCAGAUUCUUAAGACUCGCUAGUUUUGGUAAGACUUCAGCUAUACUGCGCCUGUUGUUAUAUUAGCUAUGCUUCCAAAAAUUGCUUUUUAAGUUAUAAGUAAAAAGAAUCAAGCACUUCACAUUAUAGCUGUCACGUUUGCCUCCUUUGAACCAUAGAUGCAAAUAAAGUAUGAAAUGGUGUAUG